Molecule: ribosomal RNA, 587 nt
Filed under: uncultured bacterium
Lineage: Bacteria
Description: partial 16S ribosomal RNA
Rfam family: Bacterial small subunit ribosomal RNA
Source: RNAcentral
UAGGGAAUAUUGGACAAUGGGCGCAAGCCUGAUCCAGCCAUGCCGCGUGAGUGAAGAAGGCCCUCGGGUUGUAAAGCUCUUUUGUCCGGAAAGAAAAGCAUCGGGCUAAUACCCUGGUGUUCUGACGGUACCGGAAGAAUAAGCACCGGCUAACUUCGUGCCAGCAGCCGCGGUAAUACGAAGGGUGCAAGCGUUACUCGGAAUUACUGGGCGUAAAGCGUGCGUAGGUGGUUUGUUAAGUCUGAUGUGAAAGCCCUGGGCUCAACCUGGGAAUGGCAUUGGAAACUGGCGGACUCGAGUGCGGUAGAGGGGUGUGGAAUUCCCGGUGUAGCAGUGAAAUGCGUAGAGAUCGGGAGGAACACCAGUGGCGAAGGCGACACCCUGGACCAGCACUGACACUGAGGCACGAAAGCGUGGGGAGCAAACAGGAUUAGAUACCCUGGUAGUCCACGCCCUAAACGAUGCGAACUGGAUGUUGGGUGCAACUUGGCACUCAGUAUCGAAGCUAACGCGUUAAGUUCGCCGCCUGGGGAGUACGGUCGCAAGACUGAAACUUAAAUGAAUUGACGGGGUCAUAGCUGUUUCCU